AGUGAACGCUGGCGGCGUGCUUAACACAUGCAAGUCGAACGGAUGAAAUAAGCUUGCUUAUUUCGUUAGUGGCGCACGGGUGAGUAAUGUAUAGCUAACCUGCCCUUUAGUGGGGGACAACAGUUGGAAACGACUGCUAAUACCCCAUAUUCCUUCUUAUCAUAAGGUAAGUUGGGAAAGAUUUAUUGCUAAAGGAUGGGGCUUUAUGGUAUCAGCUAGUUGGUGGGGUAACGGCCUACCAAGGCUAUGACGCCUACCUGGUCUGAGAGGAUGAUCAGGCACACUGGAACUGAGACACGGUCCAGACUCCUACGGGAGGCAGCAGUGGGGAAUAUUGCACAAUGGAGGAAACUCUGAUGCAGCAACGCCGCGUGGAGGAUGACGCAUUUCGGUGUGUAAACUCCUUUUAUAAGGGAAGAUAAUGACGGUACCUUAUGAAUAAGCACCGGCUAACUCCGUG
This 460-nucleotide ribosomal RNA is filed under the name uncultured bacterium. RNAcentral describes it as "bacterial SSU rRNA". It matches the Rfam family "Bacterial small subunit ribosomal RNA", at positions 29 to 507 of the family's 1533-position model. The record is from RNAcentral.